UGGCGUCCGGGCUGCCGGACGAGACGAUUCGGACGCUGUGGCUGGCCGCCGACCGGGGCCGGUUCGAUCCGGCCGGCGCGGGC
This 83-nucleotide transfer RNA is filed under the name Streptomyces chartreusis. Its description in RNAcentral is "tRNA-His". The record is from RNAcentral. Lineage: Bacteria; Bacillati; Actinomycetota; Actinomycetes; Kitasatosporales; Streptomycetaceae.